Chrysemys picta bellii (western painted turtle) is the source of this 2533-nucleotide non-coding RNA. NCBI's taxonomy places the organism in Eukaryota, Metazoa, Chordata, Testudines, Emydidae. The record is from RefSeq and is a predicted model, not a curated record.
GCGGCAGAAGACCCGCUGCUGUGUCAGUGGGGAUCCUGACCACAACACACUGACCUUGGCUCUGGCAGUGUUGCAGCCGGACUCGGGGCAGCUACCCCAGGGCUACUUCCUUUCUCCCUCUCUAGAGGCUCCUGGAUCCAGACGGCAUCCUCCAUGGGGUCACACACCAUGGACUCCUCGGGAUAGCUGGCGAGUGAUUUCUCAAGGUGGAGAAUUAAACAAGUUGCUGUUUUGGGCAAAAAAGUACCCCAUGCCUACCCCAAAUGGAUUGGAGGUUUCAUGGCUGCCUUAACAGUCAACCACCCUGAUUAUGCCAACACUGUGUUUGGCCAUGGAGGUUGAAUGAUGACUGAAUGACAUAACCUCCACCCCCAACCCCCGCCAACGUCCGUCACUCAGUCCGGUAAUUUUGUCAAGUGUCCGUCGUGCAACAUGGUGGUGCCUACCCCUGGAUGCAAGUCAGUGCGGAAUGGGGCCCAAUUGUACCCUCAGUUACAGAGGAGAUGGGGGACCAUCUAACUAGCCGAGGGAAGAAAUGGACCUUGCUGUGUGAACACACUUGCCAAACCCAGCAGUAGCUUUGUCACUAAAUGUCUUUAGAGUACAAGUGAUCUUUUCUUCCAGGUGUUUGACCCCCGAAGAUUUUCACAAGACAACUUGUCUGAUCAGCAUUCCUUCGCCUUUAUGCCCUUUGCUGCUGAACCACGGUGACGUAUUAAUUAAUUAAUUGCGUGAAACCUACAACCAGAAAACUGGAAACUACAAAGAGCGGAGAGAAAAUUACCUCGUGUACCUCUAAUUGUUCUCAGAAGCGAUGAUUAUCAUAGAUUGUCCUUUAGUGCUUGAUCCCAAGUCCAUUGACUAUAAAUAUAUUAUUUUUAUUACAGUAGUACCUAGAGGCACUAACCAAUAUUACAGGGCCCCGCUGUGCCAGGACCUGUACAUACACAUAGGAAGAGACAGAGUAACCACUGAUGAGAGUGUUUAGACAUUCCCCUCUCUGCCCAAUCCGCAGAAGCUACUCGUCUGUUAUGAUUCCACUUUGAGAGCCCAGAUAUUUAUCUCAAGCUGUAUGUGUUCAUGCUUUUAGCUCUGGAGGUCCCUGAGUCAGUCCUCGAUGUGUCAGUCAAGGUGGCGGUCAUCAAAGUAAACCCUGCCUGGAAGAGCUCACAAUCAAAAUAGUUAAAGGCUUGGAGGGGAAACUGAGGUACAGAACAGGGACGUGACUCAGUGGCAGAGUCAGUAAUGGAACCCAGACUCCCCUUCACUCCCUGUCCACUAGAGCAGGUACCUCUCUUUACACUCCGGUGGGUUUGAGUCAGACCAUUAAUGACUUAGCCCAUAAAUCUCCCGUACAGACUAAGUGUUUUUCCUUCUCUUCUCAGGAACUGCAUCGGGCAGCAGUUUGCCAUGACUGAGUUGAAAGUGGCUCUUGCCCUAACCCUCCUCCACUUCGAACUCUCACCUGACCUGACUACACCUCCUAAUGAAGUAACUGAGCUUAUCCUGCGCUCCAGGACUGGAAUACAUAGAUUCAUAGAUUCUAGGACUGGAAGGGACCUCGAGAGGUCAUUGAGUCCAGUCCCCUGCCCGCAUGGCAGGACCAAAUACUGUCUAGACCAUCCCUGAUAGACAUUUAUCUAACCUACUCUUAAAUAUCUCCAGAGAUGGAGAUUCCACAACCUUCCUAGGCAAUUUAUUCCAAUUUAUUACACUUGCAUUUAAAGAAACUUUCCUAAUAUCUUUGAUAUUUCAUUCUGAAACGAUCUUUGCUAUUUUUUUUCAGCAAAGCUUGCAAGUCACAAGACUUUCUUAGUAGAUUUGCACAUCUUAAAUCUGAGGAACAGUAAAUUACCGUACUAGUGUGUGGGGGAGAAUGAAGGGUGAGGCUGGGUGGAGACAUUCUUAUGGGGCCUGAUCUUCAGCCACUGCAAAGUGACAUAGCUUCAUUGACUUGGAGUUAUGCCAAUAUACACCAGCUGAGAAUUUGGUCAAUGAUGUUUAUAGAUAGGCCAUAUACAGGAACACAAAGGAAACUACAACAGGAAAUCACUGGUUUUAAAAUCCAGUAGAGUGAGGGCAUCAUUAUAUUCUGUAUAGAGAAACUUCUCUCUCUUUUGGCUUUCCAAUCCCCUUUAUCUAUGCCUUCCGACCCACCUUACAAAGCAACGAGGAUCUUAUUAUUAUGUCUGCCAGAGUAGCAGGGGGAAGUAUUUUCCUCUCCACACUAGGAAGUGAGCUUCCCAUUUAUCUUUGGGCCAAGAUGGAAAAAGUGUUGGGAGCAAAAUUGUCCUGUUAAAUGCAAUCUGAUUGAAUCAAUGGUCAAAGCCAGAUUUUGAUCUCACUUACCCAGUUGUAAAUCACUGCAUAAUUCCAUUGAUCUCAGCGGCGUUGCCCUAGAUUUGCAAGAGAGAACAGGGUUUGUGCGUUAUAAAAGUUGCUCGUGGAGAUCCAUAUUUACUAAAUCGGGUGCAGUUUUCUCAGGAAUGGAUCUGGCAAUGCCUUCUGUAGUUGAAUCCCUUAAUAAAGAGUU